UACGUAGGGGGCAAGCGUUGUCCGGAAUUACUGGGCGUAAAGGGCUUGUAGGUGGUUUGUCGCGUUGUUCGUGAAAACUCACAGCUUAACUGUGGGCGUGCGGGCGAUACGGGCAGACUGGAGUACUGCAGGGGAGACUGGAAUUCCUGGUGUAGCGGUGGAAUGCGCAGAUAUCAGGAGGAACACCGGUGGCGAAGGCGGGUCUCUGGGCAGUAACUGACGCUGAGGAGCGAAAGCGUGGGGAGCGAACAGG
RNAcentral lists this ribosomal RNA (253 nucleotides) under uncultured bacterium. RNAcentral's name for it is "partial 16S ribosomal RNA". It matches the Rfam family "Bacterial small subunit ribosomal RNA", at positions 524 to 776 of the family's 1533-position model. The record is from RNAcentral.